ACAGAUUGACAUUCUUGUCUUGACAACAAAGUUAGAUUCAAGGGAUUUGCAGUGCCCAAGAAAUCACAAGAAAAAGUUGUGAAGUUUGACUUUCAUGGCCAAUCUGUCGAGCUCAAGCAUGAUAGUGUUGUGCUUGGUGUUGGACUUGUUGCCAAGAAGGCUUGUGAAUUGGGUCUUUAGGUUAUAGUUGAUAAGGGGAUAAAUAUGCCUUUUUGUCCCCUUUUUUUUCUAAAAGAAAAAGGGUCUUGGCCUAACUUAAAUUAGAUUAACAAUAUUGUUAAUUUAUUUGGAUAUUGUCUGUCUUUGCUAUAAGAUGAUAGUUUGUUGUUGUUGUUUGCUAUGUUUCUUGAGCAUCUCGAUGUAUCUCAUACUUGCCAAUAUAUUUUUUUUGGUACUUGUAUAUAUAUAGUGAUCUUUCUUCCUUUAUUUUCAGGUUAAGCCUUAGGUGAAAACAAGUCUUGCCCUGGUAUUGGAGUUGUUACCAAGUAUUUUAUUCAUCUUAUCUAGAAUUAAACCUUGAAGAUUGUUCCGCCCUGCGUUUCAGGUCCUAAAAGGUAGACCUGUGCUGUUAUCUUUCAACCUACGCUCCCUUGUUAUCCAUUUCUUUGUCCAGAAAACCAAUGCAUUUAAUUUUUUUCUUUUAAAUCAUGAUGGAUCUCAUGACCGUGUACCCUUAAAAGAGAUGAAAGCAGAUUGGCAUUCUUGUCUUGACGACAAAGUUAGAUUCAAGGUGAGAGUCCGUGUAUUCCUCACUAGUGGUUAAUGCCUAGUUCCACUUUUUAGCAGGGCCAUGAACAACCUUCGCUAAGCUGCUUCCGGUAUAUAUACAAUCUUUGUUGUUGUUGUUUCUUAAAGUUUUGUAGUUUCUGCUGCCAUUUUCUAAAAAAAAAAAUUGGGAUAGUGAUGAAGUAGAUGAACUGGUACAUUUUAAGCUUGAGAAUUGCAAUGCUGAAAAAGAUACAUUGUUUCCUACAAUUUCUGAAGUUCAUUUAUUUAAUUAUCAAGAACCUAUCAGUUUUUGAAGAUGGAAGUGUCUCAUCAAUGCCUUAUCUUGCAAAACACUCACUGUCAUACUGAUUAUGACCAGUUGCAAAUUAUUUACAGUUGUUAUCUUGAUUAUUGUUUAAUUCUGAAUCUUGUUUAUUGUUACUAACCAAUUGCUUCUUUUGCAGGGAUUUGCAGUGCCCAAGAAAUCACAAGAAAAAGUUGUGAAGUUUAACUUUCAUGGCUAAUCUGUCGAGCUCAAGCAUGAUAGUGUUGUGCUUGGUGUUGGACUUGUUGCCAAGAAGGCUUGUGAAUUGGGUCUUUAGGUUAUAGUUGAUAAGGGGAUAAAUAUGUCUUUUUGUCCCCUUUUUUUUCUAAAAGAAAAAGCGUCAAGGCCUAACUUAAAUUAGAUUAACAAUAUUGUGAUUUUAUUUAGAUAUUGUCUGUCUUUGCUAUAAGAUGAUAGUUUGUUGUUGUUGUUUGUUAUGUUUCUCGAGCAUCUCAAUGUAUCUCAUGCUUGCAAAUAUAUUUUUUUUGGUACUUGUAUUCAUAUAGUGAUCUUUCUUCCUUUAUUUUCAGGUUAAGCCUUGGGUGAAAACAAGCCUUGCCCUGGUAUUGGAGUUGUUACCAAGUAUUUUAUUCAUCUUAUCUAGAAUUAAACCUUGAAGAUUGUUCAGCCCUGCAUUUCAGGUCCUAAAAGAGAUGAAAGCAGAUUGACAUUCUUGUCUUGACAACAAAGUUAGAUUCAAGGGAUUUGCGGUGCCCAAGAAAUCACAAGAAAAAGUUGUGAAGUUUGACUUUCAUGGUCAAUCUGACGAGCUCAAGCAUGAUAGCGUUGUGCUUGGUGUUGGACUUGUUGCCAAGAAGGCUUGUGAAUUGGGUCUUUAGGUUAUAGUUGAUAAGGGGAUAAAUAUGCCUUUUUGUCCCCUUUUUUUUCUAAAAGAGAAAGGGUCUAGGCUUUACUUAAAUUAGAUAAACAAUAUUGUGAAUUUAUUUGAAUAUUGUCUGUCUUUGCUAUAAGAUGAUAGUUUGUUGUUGUUGUUUGUUAUGUUUCUGAGCAUCUCAAUGUAUCUCAUGCUUGCAAAUAUAUAUUUUUUGGUACUUGUAUUCAUAUAGUGAUCUUUCUUCCUUUAUUUUCAGGUUAAGCCUUCGGUGAAAACAAACCUUGCCCUGGUAUUGGUGUUGUUACCAAGUAUUUUAUUCAUCUUAUCUAGAAUUAAACCUUGAAGAUUGUUCAGCCCUGCAUUUCAGGUCCUAAAAGAGAUGAAAGCAGAUUGGCAUUCUUGUCUUUACAACAAAGUUAGAUUCAAGGGAUUUGCAAUGCCCAAGAAAUCACAUGAAAAAGUUGUGAGACUUUCAUGGCCAAUCUGUCGAGCUCAAGCAUGAUAGUGUUGUGCUUGGUGUUGGACUUGUUGCCAAGAAGGCUUGUGAAUUGGGUCUUUAGGUUAUAUUUGAUAAGGUUAAGCCUUGGGUGAAAACAAGCCUUGCCCUGGUAUUGGAGUUAUUACCAGUAUUUUAUUCAUCUUAUCUAGAAUUAAACCUUGAAGAUUGUUCAGCCCUGCAUUUCAGGUCCUAAAAGGGAUUUGCAGUGCCCAAGAAAUCAUAAGAAAAAGUUGUGAAGUUUGACUUUCAUGGCCAAUCUGUCGAGCUCAAGCAUGAUAGUGUUGUGCUUGGUGUUGGACUUGUUGCCAAGAAGGCUUGUGAAUUGGGUCUUUAGGUUAUAGUUGAUAAGGGGAUAAAUAUGCCUUUUUGUCCCCUUUUUUUUCUAAAAGAAAAUUGGUCAAGGCCUAACUUAAAUUAGAUUAACAAUAUUGUUAAUUUAUUUGGAUAUUGUCUGUCUUUGCUAUAAGAUGAUAGUUUGUUGUUGUUGUUUGUUAUGUUUCUUGAGCAUCUCGAUGUAUCUCAUGCUUGCAAAUAUAUUUUUUUUGGUACUUGUAUUCAUAUAGUGAUCUUUCUUCCUUUAUUUUCAGGUUAAGCCUUGGGUGAAAACAAGCCUUGCCCUGGUAUUGGAGUUGUUACCAAGUAUUUUAUUCAUCUUAUCUAGAAUUAAACCUUGAAGAUUGUUCAGCCCUGCAUUUCAGGUCCUAAACGGUUAAGCCUUGGGUGAAAACAAGCCUUGCCCUGGUAUUGGAGUUGUUACCAAGUAUUUUCUCAAAGGUGGCCUUCAAGAAUAUUUAAAUCAGCAAGGAUUCCAUAUAGUUGGAUAUGGUUGCACAACGUGUAUUGGAAAUUCUGGGGACCUUGAUGAGUUGGUGACUGUUGCGAUUUUAGAUAACUAGAUAUGUCAUUGAUUGUCCAAUCUUGAAGUGGCAGCAACAUCAAGGUCAAAAUUUUAAAGUUAAACUAAUCUCAACCAUCUUGGCUUUAUUGGUUUGUAUCUCCUUCAAUGUAGCAAGAUGAAGAUAUGUAUCCAACAACCCUUGCACAUCCAAUAAAGAUACAUGUUGAUUGGCAGUAUACUGUUUGGAAAGAAAAGUCACCCUGAGUGUGCUUGAUUUUCACCGAAUAGUGAGUACCUAGUUUCACUUAGUUGAUGGAUUUGUAGAGGUAGGAUAUCGUAUUAAUUUUUCCAUUCUUGGUGCUUUUUGAAUGACAAGUUAAUAGUAUCACUUAUUUCUCCGAUUAUAUUGAGGUUUGGAAUUAUAUAAGUGGGAAGCUUAAGAAGGAUUUGUUGUGUUAGUCCAAUGUGAGUAAUCCUGAACAUUCAAUUUUCAUUGCCAUGAGAAAUUUGUAUUCACUUUAGAUAUUUCAAGUAGUAACUUCAGGUUCUUGCCAGCUUUGAAACUUCAAUUUAUUUUUUAUUUGGUCUAGGUGACAAAAUACUAAAUGUAUAUUUCAAGAGUUUUCUACAAAGAGUAGCCUUAACUUUGUAUCAUGCGGAUUAACAUGUCUUAUCC
Long non-coding RNA from Zingiber officinale, 3881 nucleotides. RefSeq lists it as uncharacterized. The transcript has 12 exons. Lineage: Eukaryota; Viridiplantae; Streptophyta; Magnoliopsida; Zingiberales; Zingiberaceae. The record is from RefSeq and is a predicted model, not a curated record.